RNAcentral lists this ribosomal RNA (372 nucleotides) under uncultured bacterium. RNAcentral's name for it is "bacterial SSU rRNA". It matches the Rfam family "Bacterial small subunit ribosomal RNA", at positions 358 to 747 of the family's 1533-position model. The record is from RNAcentral.
GGAAUCUUGGACAAUGGGGGAAACCCUGAUCCAGCCAUGCCGCGUGAGUGAUGAAGGCCUUCGGGUUGUAAAACUCUUUCGGCGGGGACGAUAAUGACGGUACCCGCAGAAGAAGCUCCGGCUAACUUCGUGCCAGCAGCCGCGGUAAUACGAAGGGGGCUAGCGUUGUUCGGAAUUACUGGGCGUAAAGCGCGCGCAGGCGGCUAUCCAAGUCAGUGGUGAAAGCCCGGAGCUCAACUCCGGAACUGCCAUUGAAACUGUUUAGCUUGAGGACGAAAGAGGUGAGUGGAAUUCCCUGUGUAGAGGUGAAAUUCGUAGAUAUUGGGACGAACACCGGUGGCGAAGGCGGCUCACUGGCUCGUUUCUGACGCU